UACGAAGGGGGCUAGCGUUGUUCGGAAUUACUGGGCGUAAAGCGCUCGCAGGCGGAUCGAUAAGUCAGGGGUGAAAUCCCGGGGCCCAACCUCGGAAUUGCCUUUGAUACUGUCAAUCUCGAGUCCGGGAGAGGUGAGUGGAAUUCCUAGUGUAGAGGUGAAAUUCGUAGAUAUUCGGAAGAACACCAGUGGCGAAGGCGGCUCACUGGCCCGGUACUGACGCUGAGAUACGAAAGCGUGGGGAGCAAACAGG
This 253-nucleotide ribosomal RNA is filed under the name uncultured bacterium. RNAcentral describes it as "partial 16S ribosomal RNA". It matches the Rfam family "Bacterial small subunit ribosomal RNA", at positions 524 to 776 of the family's 1533-position model. The record is from RNAcentral.